UACGAAGGGGGCUAGCGUUGCUCGGAAUCACUGGGCGUAAAGCGCACGUAGGCGGCUUCUUAAGUCAGGGGUGAAAUCCUGGAGCUCAACUCCAGAACUGCCUUUGAUACUGAGGAGCUCGAGUCCGGGAGAGGUGAGUGGAACUCCGAGUGUAGAGGUGAAAUUCGUAGAUAUUCGGAAGAACACCAGUGGCGAAGGCGGCUCACUGGCCCGGUACUGACGCUGAGGCGCGAAAGCUAGGGGAGCAAACGGG
This 253-nucleotide ribosomal RNA is filed under the name uncultured bacterium. Its description in RNAcentral is "partial 16S ribosomal RNA". It matches the Rfam family "Bacterial small subunit ribosomal RNA", at positions 524 to 776 of the family's 1533-position model. The record is from RNAcentral.